Molecule: long non-coding RNA, 4232 nt
Filed under: Vigna radiata
Lineage: Eukaryota; Viridiplantae; Streptophyta; Magnoliopsida; Fabales; Fabaceae
Description: long non-coding RNA (VRAD_LNC009612)
Source: RNAcentral
GCCCCCUCUGCCACAAAUUAUGAUGUAGGCUCUGCCACUAGGGCAGACCUUAGAACAGCACCCCUUCUUUGUGCAAUGAAGGUCACAGUUCUAGACCAUGAGCCUUUAUGAUCACUCAUUGACCCCAUCCAGGUAAGUAUGUUUCUCGAUGCCACAAGUAUUUCUUUUAUAGCUAAUGCUCUUUACUCAUAUACAGAAUAUGUCCAUGUGGGACUUUGAGUCGUUUUUAGUAAUUAUACUAAAAAGAUGACCAUGAACCAAGUAAUUAUACUAUCCUUUUGAUAUUACAUAAAACAGUUGGUUGAAUAGUGGUUGAACAAUAAUAGAAUUAGCACUAACAAUAAUUAUAUGAACCCAAAAAGAUUAUUACUAUUUGGACCAUUAAGAAUAAUUAUAUCAAUCUAAGAAAUCAUUACUACUUGAACCGUUAAGAAUAAUUAUAUCAACCCUAAAAAAUAUUACUAUUUGGACCAUCUGGAUUAUUUCAAAAUUUAUAAAUCCAUAUUUAUAUUUAUUCAGAUAAUUAAUUACUUAUUAGGCAUUUAUUACUAAAGCAUUCGUAUGAUGAACAUUGACUUUUAACGUUAAAGAUGCAGAAAGCCAAGUCUACCGAACAGCUGAGAGAAGACUUAGAACUUGGAAACCCUUUUAAAGUACCAUAAACUAAAAACUAAAACGAGUUCUUUUAGGAAAAACCGUAUUUUAAGACAUAAAAAACAGAAUAUAACCAAGAAAACACAGAUGUCUUCAACAUAAUUUUGUAUCUGUAGAAUGGAUGUUCAUAUAAAACAAAUAAGCAAAAAAAGUUCAAUAUGUGGGAUAAUAAACAUUUUGAGGAAAAAAGACAUUUUAUUUUAUUGUGAACAUAUUUCGACAAAAACAUGAAAACAUCAUCAAAAUAAUAAUGAAACUUACCAAAAUAAAAAUUCAUUAAAAACUUCCAGAAAAAACUGCCCAAAGAUUCUGGAGUUUGGAAUCAUUUUAGAACAUAAUAUUCUCCAUAGGCCCAUCUAAUUCUAUCUGAAGGAACAAUUAAGUUCCAUUUAAUAGAAAUCUAAUUCUAUCUGAAGGAGCAAUUAAGUUCCAUUUAAUAGAAAAAGUGUUAAACUAUACAUAAUAAGGGCUGCGCGAACGCAAGCCCUCUCUGCCACAAAUUAUGAUGUAGGCUCUGCCACUAGGNCAGACCUUAGAACAGCANCCCUUCNNUGUGCAAUGAAGGUCACAGUUCUAGNCCAUGAGCCUUUNUGAUCACUCAUUGACCCCAUCCAGGUAAGUAUGUUUCUCAAUGCCACAAGUAUUUCUUUUAUAGCUAAUGCUCUUUACUNAUAUACAGAAUAUNUCCAUGUGGGACUUUAAGUCGUUUUUACAUGAUUAUGGAAAAACAGAAUACAAUAAACAAGGACACAAAAAUGUCAAAAUCAUUUUUAUCCAAAUGGUUUUGACUUACUUCCAACUGUUGUUCAUUUAAAUAUGUGGGAUUAUAAACUCAUUUAAAUAUUUUGAGGAAAAAAGACAUCAUUUAUUGUGAAACUAAUUCAAAAUGUAUGGUAAAAAGAUGUUUUUGGAUUAGUGUCCAAAAACUGCAUCUAUCACAAAAUCUGCAUUAAACAGUCCAAAAUAUGUGAAGCUAUAAUGGCUAAUUUGGUCUUAAACAAACACGCAGCUAAUACAAAUACUCUAAAGUGAAUUAUGAAAUAGGAAAUAUAGAGUGGUAUCCGUUUGUUGUUAUUUUAUCGUGUGUUCUUCUUGGUAAAGCAGGUACUUUUACCAAAUCAGUUACAAAAUAAUGUUUACGCGAAGCGAAGGAUAUGCAAGUCUUAGAUCUUGGACUUUUUAGAAAAAGUGGUUGUUGUGGGGAGGGGGACGUAAUGUGCCCUCCCUGCUCUGCUGAAGCUACUCUUUACGCCGAACGAUCAUAAUAGCAAAGGUGCCCGAUUUUCCCUUUUCGUAAGUAGUCAUGAGAUCUGAAAUAAAACACAAAAUUUAGAUGAGUUGAAAACAACCAAAUUAAAGUAGUAUGUAACAAAAGGCUUACUGAACACUCUACUACAUAGAGUGUCUGAGUCAAGAUAAUUGAUGAGGUCGUGGGAAGGGACUUUGCGAGGUAACUAAUUGAUCAAGCCGACCACCUUUAUUUCCGUUGGUGUCAUCAUAGAUUUCGCCCAAAUAGGUUACCCUUUUGGGAUGCUCAGUCUAGCAAAAAAGGAAUUUCUAUUUCAAAUAAAACCUUGACUGACUGGCCUCCUUUAUUGUGACCUUUAAGAAGUUGGUCUUAAACCCUUUACAGGAAGAGGGUGAACAAUGUCUGGUCUUUCUCCAAAAUAAGAGACACUCACAACUUGUUGAAGUGCAGUCGGGUUCGAAAAAAAUAUAAGAAAGAUGUUGGUGUUUGGCCCGGUCUAAGGCCUUGUAGACAACAACAAAUGCCUGCAUAAAAAUCCACCUGUUUGGGUGGAGUUGGAUAUGGGCCACAUUCAACUAUCACAAAACAUCCAUCUGAAACUCGAAGAACGCAGCCGAACAGACAUGUCGCGGAAUAUCAUCCAAUACACAUAGAAGAAGUCCAGUGCAUAACCCUCCCUCCCGUGACAAGCCUACUCAAUUCUUUUGCAAACAACAAGCUUAAAACACUCAGCAUAUGUAGCCUCCCUCACCAGGUUAUUAUGGUUCCUGAAAUCCUCUAAAGACGAACCAAUGCUGAAGUAAGAAACGUAAUUCACGAUCUCAUGGAGAGCCCAACCAUAUCCGAAAAUAGGUGGCAACGUCGCACAAAACCCUAUCCACUCUCGGAUGACAUCAAUCUCCACUGCAGUUGUCGCACCCUCAUCGAUAGGAGCAGCCUCAUUAUUUAUGUGCAUAGUUAUUCCUUCGUCAACCGAGGCCUUGCCAUGCUCAGUUGACCCUAGGAUAGAAGAGUCGACAGAUGACGAUGACGACUCUGAUCCACCAUCAGUAUACCUCUGGUCUCCCCAUCCUACGAACUCCUCAAACGAAAAAAGUUUCACGAUCAACAUUAUCACCUUAGUAUAGGAAAAUAAGUGAAAACACUUGAUCGCAAGAAGUAAGAAAAAUAGUAAGUGUGAAAAUGACAGCGACCCCACCCACUAUUUAUAGUCGAAAAAGCGAUUUUUGUAGACAAAUCUCAAUCGUUGAAACCAACACGAUCAACGAUCCACGAAACACAACCUUUUGUUUCAAACAGACGCAUGAAUCUCGAGAAUCAACUUUUCCCACUCACACCAGUUACAUUUCCCUGUGAUCGUCACAGUAACUACCCACGGUAACUACCCACGCAAGCAACUGCUUUUGGACUAGCAGUGUGACAGAAUCCCUCCCACUAUAACACACACGGCCCUCCUUGUUUUCAACAAACUUUCUCACAUCUCCUUAUAAAAUAUAUGCGAAGUAUGUGUAAUGUAUGACCAUCUCAUCAACCAUAAACCAAGUGGUCAUACUAUCCUUUUUAUCCCACAUAAAUCAGUUGAUUGAACAAGGCACUAAGAAUAAUUAUAUCAACUUGGCUUAUUCCAAAAUUUAUAAAUAUAUAUUUAUUCGAAUAAUUGAAGAAAGCCAAGUCUACUUAAAACUUGACACCCUUUAAGUCCCAUAAACUAAACUAAAAAAGUUCUUUUAGGAAUACAACCAAGAAAACACAGAUGUCACCAACAUAAUUUUGUAAUAUCACUUAAUACGUAGAAUGGAUGUUCAUAUAAAACAAAUCAGCAAAAAAGUUAAAUAUGUGGGAUAAUAAGCAUUUUGAGGAAAAAUGAAUAUUUUAUUGUGAAGAAAUAUUUCGUCAAAAACUUAAAAACAUCAUCAAAAUAGUAACGAAACUUACCAAAAUAAAAUUGCAUCACAAAAAUUCCGAGGUUGGAAUCAUUUUAGAACAUAACAUUCUCCGUAGGCCCAUCUAAAGGAACAAUGAAGUUCGACUUAAUAGAAAAAGUGUUAAACUUUACAUAGUAGGGGCUGCGCGAACACAAGCCCCCUCUGCCACAGAUUAUGAUGUAGGCUCUGCCACUAGGNCANACCUUAGAACAGCACCCCUUCNUUGUGCAAUGAAGGUCACAGUUCUAGNCCAUGAGCCUUUNUGAUCACUCAUUGACCCCAUCCAGGUAAGUAUGUUUCUCNAUGCCACAAGUAUUUCUUUUAUAGCUAAUGCUCUUUACUCAUAUACAGAAUAUUUCCAUGUGGGACUUUGAGUCGUUUUUACAUGAUUAUGGAAAAGCAGA